This 164-nucleotide small nuclear RNA is filed under the name Echinops telfairi (small Madagascar hedgehog). RNAcentral describes it as "U1 spliceosomal RNA (ENSETEG00000020888.1)". It matches the Rfam family "U1 spliceosomal RNA". Rfam says of the family: U1 is a small nuclear RNA (snRNA) component of the spliceosome (involved in pre-mRNA splicing). Its 5' end forms complementary base pairs with the 5' splice junction, thus defining the 5' donor site of an intron. Lineage: Eukaryota; Metazoa; Chordata; Mammalia; Afrosoricida; Tenrecidae. The record is from RNAcentral.
AUACUUACCUGGCAGGGGAGAUGCCAUGAUCACGAAGGUGGUUUUCCCAGGGCGAGGCUCACCCAUUGCACUCCGGGUGUGCUGACCCCUGCGAUUUCCCCAAAUGUGGGAAACUCGACUGCAUAAUUUGUGGUAGUGGGGGACUGCAUUCACGCUAUCCCCUG